Erigeron canadensis is the source of this 257-nucleotide long non-coding RNA. RefSeq lists it as uncharacterized. NCBI's taxonomy places the organism in Eukaryota, Viridiplantae, Streptophyta, Magnoliopsida, Asterales, Asteraceae. The transcript is spliced from 3 exons. The record is from RefSeq and is a predicted model, not a curated record.
AACUUAAAAAACACUAAUGAAGCCAUCGCCCAGCUGCCCAUCGAUCUUUAAUAUUCUUCAAAAUAUACAACCAACAAAUCCACCACUCAAGCAAUCAUAAAUCGAUCCGACACAUCAAGAUCUAAGAAUUAUCUUACAAAAUGGUUGAAGAUAUGGGCUUAUUUUUGGUCGAUCCACACUAGACGAGAUGGUUAGAACAUUGGAAUCAAAACUUUCAUCCUUGUAGAUGUAAUAUAAAGCGAUUUUGGUAAUGUAUG